AUGGGGGCAUGGCUAUAUGGGUAUAUCGAUCAAACAACCCCCGAGCCUUCCAAAACCAUAGUCACAAAAACCACCGAUGGGAAAGAUCAAAUCGCUCCCAAUCCUGCCUACAACCCUUGGUUAGUCCAAGAUCAACAAAUAGUGGCCUACCUGCUCCGAAACCUCUCCAAAGAAGUCCUGAUUCAGGUUGCCUCCCUAGAAACAUCCCACGGCAUAUGGUCUGCCCUCGCAAACAUGUUCGCUGCACAAUCUAGGUCUCGCAUCAACAACUGCCGCCUUGCUCUUUCCAAUGCCCAAAAGGGAACCCAGUCUGCCGCUACCUUCUUUGGCCACAUGCGA
Molecule: ribosomal RNA, 339 nt
Filed under: Triticum aestivum (bread wheat)
Lineage: Eukaryota; Viridiplantae; Streptophyta; Magnoliopsida; Poales; Poaceae
Description: partial small subunit ribosomal RNA
Source: RNAcentral